Molecule: non-coding RNA, 107 nt
Organism: Gossypium raimondii (Peruvian cotton)
Lineage: Eukaryota; Viridiplantae; Streptophyta; Magnoliopsida; Malvales; Malvaceae
Source: Rfam
AUCCCAUGAUGAGGAUACUUAUGAAGUAACUCCUUGAAUCGCUCCUAAGCCUCAUACAAAGACUCAUCAUCCAAUUAUUGGAAGGUUGUGAUCUUGUUCCUCAACUU